AGGAAACUUACAACAAAGAGUCCCUCCCGACUGUUUACCAAAAACACAGCACUCUGCUAACUCGUAAGAGGAUGUAUAGGGUGUGACGCCUGCCCGGUGCUCGAAGGUUAAUUGAUGGGGUUAGCAUUAGCGAAGCUCUUGAUCGAAGCCCGAGUAAACGGCGGCCGUAACUAUAACGGUCCUAAGGUAGCGAAAUUCCUUGUCGGUUAAAUACCGACCUGCAUGAAUGGCGUAACGAGAUGGGAGCUGUCUCAAAGAGGGAUCCAGUGAAAUUGUAGUGGAGGUGAAAAUUCCUCCUACCCGCGGCAAGACGGAAAGACCCCGUGGACCUUUACUACAGCUUGACACUGCUACUUGGAUAAGAAUGUGCAGGAUAGGUGGGAGGCUUUGAGUAUAUGACGCCAGUUGUAUAUGAGCCAUUGUUGAGAUACCACUCUUUCUUAUUUGGGUAGCUAACCAGCUUGAGUUAUCCUCAAGUGGGACAAUGUCUGGUGGGUAGUUUGACUGGGGCGGUCGCCUCCCAAAUAAUAACGGAGGCUUACAAAGGUUGGCUCAGAACGGUUGGAAAUCGUUCGUAGAGUAUAAAGGUAUAAGCCAGCUUAACUGCAAGACAUACAAGUCAAGCAGAGACGAAAGUCGGUCUUAGUGAUCCGGUGGUUCUGUGUGGAAGGGCCAUCGCUCAAAGGAUAAAAGGUACCCCGGGGAUAACAGGCUGAUCUCCCCCAAGAGCUCACAUCGACGGGGAGGUUUGGCACCUCGAUGUCGGCUCAUCGCAUCCUGGGGCUGGAGCAGGUCCCAAGGGUAUGGCUGUUCGCCAUUUAAAGCGGUACGCGAGCUGGGUUCAGAACGUCGUGAGACAGUUCGGUCCCUAUCUGCCGUGGGCGUAAGAAGAUUGAAGAGAUUUGACCCUAGUACGAGAGGACCGGGUUGAACAAACCACUGGUGUAGCUGUUGUUCUGCCAAGAGCAUCGCAGCGUAGCUAAGUUUGGAAAGGAUAAACGCUGAAAGCAUCUAAGCGUGAAGCCAACUCUAAGAUGAAUCUUCUCUAAGCUCUCUAGAAGACUACUAGUUUGAUAGGCUGGGUGUGUAAUGGAUGAAAGUCCUUUAGCUGACCAGUACUAAUAGAGCGUUUGGCUUAUCUUUAAUAAAGCAU
RNAcentral lists this ribosomal RNA (1153 nucleotides) under Campylobacter jejuni. Its description in RNAcentral is "partial 23S ribosomal RNA". It matches the Rfam family "Bacterial large subunit ribosomal RNA", at positions 1770 to 2925 of the family's 2925-position model. The record is from RNAcentral. Lineage: Bacteria; Pseudomonadati; Campylobacterota; Epsilonproteobacteria; Campylobacterales; Campylobacteraceae.